GGCAGCGCGGGGCAACCUGGCGGCGAGUGGCGAACGGGUGAGUAAUAUAUCGGAACGUGCCCUGGAGUGGGGGAUAACGCAGCGAAAGUUGCGCUAAUACCGCAUACGAUCUAAGGAUGAAAGCGGGGGAUUCGCAAGAACCUCGUGCUCCUGGAGCGGCCGAUAUCUGAUUAGCUAGUUGGUGGGGUAAAGGCCUACCAAGGCAUCGAUCAGUAGCUGGUCUGAGAGGACGACCAGCCACACUGGAACUGAGACACGGUCCAGACUCCUACGGGAGGCAGCAGUGGGGAAUUUUGGACAAUGGGCGAAAGCCUGAUCCAGCAAUGCCGCGUGAGUGAAGAAGGCCUUCGGGUUGUAAAGCUCUUUUGUCAGGGAAGAAACGGUGAAGGCUAAUAUCCUUUGCUAAUGACGGUACCUGAAGAAUAAGCACCGGCUAACUACGUGCCAGCAGCCGCGGUAAUACGUAGGGUGCAAGCGUUAAUCGGAAUUACUGGGCGUAAAGCGUGCGCAGGCGGUUUUGUAAGUCUGUCGUGAAAUCCCCGGGCUCAACCUGGGAAUUGCGAUGGAGACUGCAAGGCUAGAAUCUGGCAGAGGGGGGUAGAAUUCCACGUGUAGCAGUGAAAUGCGUAGAGAUGUGGAGGAACACCGAUGGCGAANGCAGCCCCCUGGGUCAAGAUUGACGCUCAUGCACGAAAGCGUGGGGAGCAAACAGGAUUAGAUACCCUGGUAGUCCACGCCCUAAACGAUGUCUACUAGUUGUCGGGUUUUAAUUAACUUGGUAACGCAGCUAACGCGUGAAGUAGACCGCCNGGGGAGUACGGUCGCAAGAUUAAAACUCAAAGGAAUUGACGGGGNNCCGCACAAGCGGNGGAUGAUGUGGAUUNAUUCG
RNAcentral lists this ribosomal RNA (889 nucleotides) under uncultured bacterium. RNAcentral describes it as "bacterial SSU rRNA". It matches the Rfam family "Bacterial small subunit ribosomal RNA", at positions 68 to 953 of the family's 1533-position model. The record is from RNAcentral.